UUUUAUGGGUGGGUAUUUUGGGGAGCCGAAAGGCUCGCCGGACUUUGUCCCGGUCUGCUAACCCGAUCUAUCCGCCCGCCCCG
This 83-nucleotide non-coding RNA is filed under the name Nitrosomonas oligotropha. The record is from RNAcentral. Lineage: Bacteria; Pseudomonadati; Pseudomonadota; Betaproteobacteria; Nitrosomonadales; Nitrosomonadaceae.